ACCUACGGGGGGCAGCAGUGAGGAAUAUUGGUCAAUGGGCGAGAGCCUGAACCAGCCAAGUCGCGUGAGGGAAGACGGCCCUACGGGUUGUAAACCUCUUUUGUCAGGGAGCAAGAACGGAUACGUGUAUCCGAGCGAGAGUACCUGAAGAAAAAGCAUCGGCUAACUCCGUGCCAGCAGCCGCUGUAAUACGGAGGAUGCGAGCGUUAUCCGGAUUUAUUGGGUUUAAAGGGUGCGUAGGCGGAUUUUUAAGUCAGCGGUAAAAUGUCCGGGCUCAACCCGGGCCGGCCGUUGAAACUGGGGAU
RNAcentral lists this ribosomal RNA (305 nucleotides) under uncultured bacterium. Its description in RNAcentral is "bacterial SSU rRNA". It matches the Rfam family "Bacterial small subunit ribosomal RNA", at positions 337 to 640 of the family's 1533-position model. The record is from RNAcentral.